UGCUUUACACAUGCAAGUCGAACGGUAACAGGCCUUCGGGUGCUGACGAGUGGCGAACGGGUGAGUAAUGCAUCGGAACGUGCCCAGAGGUGGGGGAUAACGCAGCGAAAGCUGUGCUAAUACCGCAUGUGAUCUGAGGAUGAAAGCGGGGGACCAAGCAGCAAUGUUUGGCCUCGCGCCUCUGGAGCGGCCGAUGUCAGAUUAGGUAGUUGGUGGGGUAAAGGCCUACCAAGCCGACGAUCUGUAGCUGGUCUGAGAGGACGACCAGCCACACUGGGACUGAGACACGGCCCAGACUCCUACGGGAGGCAGCAGUGGGGAAUUUUGGACAAUGGGCGCAAGCCUGAUCCAGCAAUGCCGCGUGCGGGAAGAAGGCCUUCGGGUUGUAAACCGCUUUUGUACGGAACGAAAAGGCUCUGGCUAAUACCUGGGGCUGAUGACGGUACCGUAAGAAUAAGCACCGGCUAACUACGUGCCAGCAGCCGCGGUAAUACGUAGGGUGCGAGCGUUAAUCGGAAUUACUGGGCGUAAAGCGUGCGCAGGCGGUCUUGUAAGACAGAGGUGAAAUCCCUGGGCUCAACCUAGGAAUGGCCUUUGUGACUGCAAGGCUGGAGUGCGGCAGAGGGGGAUGGAAUUCCGCGUGUAGCAGUGA
This 652-nucleotide ribosomal RNA is filed under the name Tepidimonas sp. VTT E-073088. RNAcentral describes it as "bacterial SSU rRNA". It matches the Rfam family "Bacterial small subunit ribosomal RNA", at positions 45 to 684 of the family's 1533-position model. Lineage: Bacteria; Pseudomonadati; Pseudomonadota; Betaproteobacteria; Burkholderiales. The record is from RNAcentral.